CGACUACAUCACGUCGAAACACCGCUCCCCAUAUGAUCACCAAAGUUAAACAACGUCGAGCAUGGUCAAUAACUAGAUGGGUGACCGUUCGGGAAUACCAUGUGAUGUAAG
This is a non-coding RNA of Acanthosepion pharaonis, 111 nucleotides long. The record is from the annotation of a GenBank genome assembly. Lineage: Eukaryota; Metazoa; Mollusca; Cephalopoda; Sepiida; Sepiidae.